GGUAUUGUAGGUAUUUAUAGGAAAAGUUUUGGAAUUGGGAAGAGGAGUGGGUGAGAGAAAAAUAAAUGUGGAUGAAUGUGAGUGGAAUGGAGUAAAGGUGAGUUGAAUGGAAAAAUGAAAAGAUGGGGAGCAACGGUCAUGUCCCCAACGGUCACCAACGUUCACCUAUUCUGAAGCUGUCACGCUCGUGACAGAAGGUGUUACGGGCGUCAUGUGCAUUUGCGUGACGACCGUGAUGGCUUGUGUGACGCUCGUCACACCAGUUAGCUUGCAACGGUCACUGGCGCUCGUGACUGCUGACGUGGGUGCUUCAUAAAUUAUUUUUAUUAAUAAUUUUUUUUUUUUAUUAUAUUUGCUAUUGUUAUAUUUUUGAAUUGCCAUGUAUGCUAUUUUACUACACACCAUAGUGUAUAUAUAUAUUUUUCUCUAAUAGGCUAUGUAAGUAGUAGCAUAUAGUGAAUAUCAUUACUGGUAAUUGU
RNAcentral lists this long non-coding RNA (479 nucleotides) under Lathyrus oleraceus (garden pea). RNAcentral's name for it is "Pisum sativum (pea) long non-coding RNA (PSAT_LNC033355)". The record is from RNAcentral. Lineage: Eukaryota; Viridiplantae; Streptophyta; Magnoliopsida; Fabales; Fabaceae.